This is a long non-coding RNA of Oncorhynchus tshawytscha (Chinook salmon), 553 nucleotides long. RefSeq lists it as uncharacterized. The transcript is spliced from 5 exons. NCBI's taxonomy places the organism in Eukaryota, Metazoa, Chordata, Actinopteri, Salmoniformes, Salmonidae. The record is from RefSeq and is a predicted model, not a curated record.
UGUACAUUUCUUUACCAGGUGUGAGCCGUGUGGGUGUACAUUUCUUUACCAGGUGUGAGCCGUGUGGGUGUACAUUUCUUUACCAGGUGUGAGCCGUGUGGGUGUACAUUUCUUUACCAGGUGUGAGCCGUGUGGGUGUACAUUUCUUUACCAGGUGUGAGCCGUGUGGGUGUACAUUUCUUUACCAGGUGUGAGCCGUGUGGGUGUACAUUUCUUUACCAGGUGUGAGCCGUGUGGGUGUACAUUUCUUUACCAGGUGUGAGCCGUGUGGGUGUACAUUUCUUUACCAGGUGUGAGCCGUGUGGGUGUACAUUUCUUUACCAGGUGUGAGCCGUGUGGGUGUACAUUUCUUUACCAGGUGUGAGCCGUGUGGGUGUACAUUUCUUUACCAGGUGUGAGCCGUGUGGGUGUACAUUUCUUUACCAGGUGUGAGCCGUGUGGGUGUACAUUUCUUUACCAGGUGUGAGCUGUACAUUACUUUACCAGGUGUGAGCUGUGUGGGUGUAUAUUUCUUUACCAGGUGUGAGCUGUGUGGGUGUACAUUUCUUUACCA